Molecule: ribosomal RNA, 837 nt
Filed under: uncultured bacterium
Lineage: Bacteria
Description: bacterial SSU rRNA
Rfam family: Bacterial small subunit ribosomal RNA
Source: RNAcentral
GGGCGUAAGCGUGCGCAGGCGGUUUUGUAAGACAGGCGUGAAAUCCCCGGGCUCAACCUGGGAACUGCGCUUGUGACUGCAAGGCUAGAGUACGGCAGAGGGGGGUGGAAUUCCACGUGUAGCAGUGAAAUGCGUAGAGAUGUGGAGGAACACCAAUGGCGAAGGCAGCCCCCUGGGUCGAUACUGACGCUCAUGCACGAAAGCGUGGGUAGCAAACAGGAUUAGAUACCCUGGUAGUCCACGCCCUAAACGAUGUCAACUAGGUGUUGGGUGGGUAAAACCAUUUAGUACCGGAGCUAACGCGUGAAGUUGACCGCCUGGGGAGUACGGCCGCAAGGUUAAAACUCAAAGGAAUUGACGGGGACCCGCACAAGCGGUGGAUGAUGUGGAUUAAUUCGAUGCAACGCGAAAAACCUUACCUACCCUUGACAUGUCCAGAACCCCUGAGAGAUUGGGGGGUGCCCGAAAGGGAGCUGGAACACAGGUGCUGCAUGGCUGUCGUCAGCUCGUGUCGUGAGAUGUUGGGUUAAGUCCCGCAACGAGCGCAACCCUUGUCGUUAAUUGCCAUCAUUUAGUUGGGCACUUUAACGAGACUGCCGGUGACAAACCGGAGGAAGGUGGGGAUGACGUCAAGUCCUCAUGGCCCUUAUGGGUAGGGCUUCACACGUCAUACAAUGGUCGGUACAGAGGGUUGCCAAGCCGCGAGGUGGAGCCAAUCCCAGAAAGCCGAUCGUAGUCCGGAUUGCAGGCCGCAACUCGCCUGCAUGAAGUCGGAAUCGCUAGUAAUCGCGGAUCAGCAUGUCGCGGUGAAUACGUUCCCGGGUCUUGUACACACCG